RNAcentral lists this unclassified non-coding RNA (241 nucleotides) under plant metagenome. Its description in RNAcentral is "partial contains small subunit ribosomal RNA, internal transcribed spacer 1, and 5.8S ribosomal RNA". The record is from RNAcentral.
UUUCCGUAGGUGAACCUGCGGAAGGAUCAUUAAAGAGUAAGGGUCUUCGGGCCCGAUCUCCAACCCUUUGUUUGACUACCAUGUUGCUUUGGCGGGCCCGUCUCACGACCGCCGGAAGUUUGGCUUCGACCAAACUUCUGGCCCGUGCCCGUCAGUGGCCCCUUCAAAUUCUUGAUCAAGUAUGAUGUCUUAGUUAAAAACUUAAUAGUUAAAACUUUCAACAACGGAUCUCUUGGUUCUG